GAAAUGCGAUAAGUAGUGUGAAUUGCAGAAUUCAGUGAAUCAUCGAAUCUUUGAACGCACAUUGCGCCCCUCGGUAUUCCGUGGGGCAUGCCUGUUCGAGCGUCAUUUCCCCCUCAAGCUCCGCUUGGUGUUGGGCGUCUGUCCCGCUUCGCGCGUGGACUCGUCCCAAAGGCAUUGGCAGCGGUCGCGCCGGCUUCUCGCGCAGCACAUUGCGCUUCUCGAGGCACGCGGGCCCGCGUCCAUCAAGUCCAUCUCCAGUUUGACCUCGGAUCAGGUAGGAAUACCCGCUGAACUUAA
This 297-nucleotide unclassified non-coding RNA is filed under the name uncultured Darksidea. RNAcentral's name for it is "sequence contains ITS1". The stretch from base 1 to 105 matches the Rfam family "5.8S ribosomal RNA", at positions 50 to 154 of the family's 154-position model. Lineage: Eukaryota; Fungi; Ascomycota; Dothideomycetes; Pleosporales; Lentitheciaceae. The record is from RNAcentral.